CCUGACAUAGCUCAGCUGGUAGAGCGGAGGACUGUAGAAAUGUGCGGACAUCCUUAGGUCGCUGGUUCAAAUCCGGCUGUCAGGA
Molecule: non-coding RNA, 85 nt
Organism: Aphelenchus avenae
Lineage: Eukaryota; Metazoa; Nematoda; Chromadorea; Rhabditida; Aphelenchidae
Source: the annotation of a GenBank genome assembly